Molecule: non-coding RNA, 139 nt
Organism: Ricinus communis (castor bean)
Lineage: Eukaryota; Viridiplantae; Streptophyta; Magnoliopsida; Malpighiales; Euphorbiaceae
Source: Rfam
GUUGCUUCUUACUGGUGAACUCUUCCCUCAAAUAUCAGUGGAAAAUGUUCGUGUUUCCGAAGCAUAAAUUAAUUUUCCAGUAUUAAACAGCACAUGGAAUUUCUUUUUGAUUUCCACUGUACGAUUCUUUUAUAUAUAU